Molecule: ribosomal RNA, 507 nt
Filed under: Salmonella enterica subsp. enterica serovar Bovismorbificans
Lineage: Bacteria; Pseudomonadati; Pseudomonadota; Gammaproteobacteria; Enterobacterales; Enterobacteriaceae
Description: partial 23S ribosomal RNA
Rfam family: Bacterial large subunit ribosomal RNA
Source: RNAcentral
CGUAUCACUUAAAGCGAUUCAGCGGGUUACGAUUGACGGAGCGAAGCGACGUCAAAGCGUAUACAAAGUCGAGUCGGUUUAAGGAUACGUUCGUUGGGUAGGGGAGCGUUCUGUAAGCCUGUGAAGGUGGCCUGUGAGGGUUGCUGGAGGUAUCAGAAGUGCGAAUGCUGACAUAAGUAACGAUAAAGCGGGUGAAAAGCCCGCUCGCCGGAAGACCAAGGGUUCCUGUCCAACGUUAAUCGGGGCAGGGUGAGUCGACCCCUAAGGCGAGGCCGAAAGGCGUAGUCGAUGGGAAACGGGUUAAUAUUCCCGUACUUGGUGUUACUGCGAAGGGGGGACGGAGAAGGCUAUGUUGGCCGGGCGACGGUUGUCCCGGUUUAAGCGUGUAGGUGUGUGUUCCAGGUAAAUCCGGUUCACUUUAACACUGAGGCGUGAUGACGAGGCACUACGGUGCUGAAGCAACAAAUGCCCUGCUUCCAGGAAAAGCCUCUAAGCAUCAGGUAACAC